Molecule: ribosomal RNA, 403 nt
Rfam family: Bacterial small subunit ribosomal RNA
UGGGGAAUAUUGGGCAAUGGGGGAAACCCUGACCCAGCGACGCCGCGUGAGGGAAGACGGUUUUCGGAUUGUAAACCUCUGUCUUAUGGGAAGAGAACGGACUGUACCAUAGGAGGAAGCCACGGCUAACUACGUGCCAGCAGCCGCGGUAAUACGUAGGUGGCAAGCGUUAUCCGGAAUUACUGGGUGUAAAGGGAGCGUAGGCGGGGAGGAAAGUCAGAUGUGAAAUACCGGAGCUCAACUUCGGUUCUGCAUUUGAAACUUCUUCUCUUGAGUGAAGUAGAGGCAAGCGGAAUUCCAUGUGUAGCGGUGAAAUGCGCAGAUAUAUGGAGGAACACCAGUGGCGAAGGCGGCUUGCUGGGCUUUUACUGACGCUGAGGCUCGAAAGCGUGGGUAGCAAACA